This 327-nucleotide ribosomal RNA is filed under the name Triticum aestivum (bread wheat). RNAcentral describes it as "partial small subunit ribosomal RNA". The record is from RNAcentral. Lineage: Eukaryota; Viridiplantae; Streptophyta; Magnoliopsida; Poales; Poaceae.
AUGACGACGAAGGCGAAGCUCGGGGAGCUAAUGUGGGAGCACCGGCUGCGUGCGGCGGCGGCGGUGGCGUUCCUCGCCGUCGCCGUGGUGUCGAUCUCCGCCGUCGGGCCCAGGCUCGGCGCCGUGGUCUCCUUCUUCUGGCCGCUGCUCGUCUCCACGGCCUUCUUCCUCGUGGCCAUCACCGUGCUGCUCCGGAUCUCGCCGCCGCCCAGCGGCGCGGAGGAGUCCGGCAAGGAGAUCAUCGACUUCGUCGCCGGGUGCCGCCCCGAGCACCUCCUCCCGGAGGCGUCCGCCACCGUGGAGGUGCCGCCGGAGCCGGAGAUCUGA